AAGCCGUAUGCUUUCACCUGCUAUUUUAGCAUUAAUCGAGGUGGGACUAGAAAAGAUCCUGGAAAUUGAGUUCAGUUGUCCUUGUGUACCGAAACUCAAUGCUGGAUAUAGUGUGUGCGUCUUUAUGAUACCAGCACUGGUAGUCUUGUUUCUUAUGUUAUCACAGAAGUGGACAGGCAUUAAAGACUGCUACAAACGCUUCCUAAUUGCAUUAGUUCCAACAGUGGCUUGGCUCAUCAUAACUUUCUUGGAUGGAAGAUACUUUGUUUGUUCACAAGCUUAUGGGACAGGCAGUUUCAAUGUGUCCCUACAUACUGAAGGCUUGGCUCAAUCAUGCAAUAUGAAAGAUGAAGCAAUGACAGAAAAGGAAACACUGGAUCUUAUUAAAAAAUAUACUGCAACAUCUCAGGUUAUCGGUGCUGGACUUUCUGUUUUUUUCGCUCUGUUUUUCAUGAUCUCAGGGUGCUUUGGGUACUUAAUGAGACCUGCUAAAGAUGACAUUGAAAAGGGAUGCAAGGAAAACCCUAAAGAGUCACACGAACUGAGCCAGAUGACAUGAGAUGAGAUGAUGGCAGUAAUUGGUUGGAUAAUUUGGAACAACGCACAUAUAUCUGAGGCGCAGUCACGUGAUUUGCAAGAACAAGGAAGACAUGUUUUUUUAUAUUUCCUCUAAAGAGAAUUAAAAUUUGAGUGCAGGCUAAUUUUUUGUUGAAGAAAAUGAAUGAUAUGUAUUCUUACAUUACCUCCGAUUAGGAAAAAUCACAAAUCAUAAAAUAAUAAUUCUGAGAGUACUAAAAAGUAAUGGCGUGUAACUAGUUUUUAAGUAUUUUCCAGAAUGUAAUAUAUUCUGAUUGCAAGCAUUGUGCUAUUUAAAUUUAGAAAGUUCCAACAAAGAACUUGGUUGAAAUAUUAAAAAAAGAAGAAUUAUGAACACCACAGGUUCAGGAUAAUGUGACCAAAGAAAUCAGAGGGGUUUUUUUUGCAUUUGUUCAGCGUCUGAAAGUUGAUUUUUAAAAGUUUGAUUUUCAUGCUUCCUAAUUCCAUGUCUGCUCUCUCAUUAUCUUCAGAUUUUGAUAAUUUAUGCAACCACUUGGCUAUAGAGCUGAAGUGAAAUCUCUAAUGCAAGAUCAGACGAGGUGGUUAGAAAUGGUGGCUUAUGUUAUGUUGUUUUGGGAAGAAGCAUGAUUUGGAAGAAAGCGCUGUGUGAAUUCCCCUGGGCUGUUUAAACACAAUGUGUUCCUCUUGUUACACUAUACUUUACAGUUGGAUUAUCUCUCUCACUUUGUGUUUAUUCUCUGUGUUCUAAAGUUUGAUUAAAAGCUAAACUAAACCAAAUGCAAGUGUUAUUAUUCUUUCAGUGAUAUG
Acipenser ruthenus (sterlet) is the source of this 1365-nucleotide long non-coding RNA. RefSeq lists it as uncharacterized. NCBI's taxonomy places the organism in Eukaryota, Metazoa, Chordata, Actinopteri, Acipenseriformes, Acipenseridae. The transcript is spliced from 3 exons. The record is from RefSeq and is a predicted model, not a curated record.